GAUGAACGCUAGCUACAGGCUUAACACAUGCAAGUCGAGGGGAAACGGCAUUGAGUGCUUGCACUCUUUGGACGUCGACCGGCGCACGGGUGAGUAACGCGUAUCCAACCUUCCCAUUACUGUGGGAUAACCUGCCGAAAGGCAGACUAAUACCGCAUAGUCUUCGAUGACGGCAUCAGAUUUGAAGUAAAGAUUUAUCGGUAAUGGAUGGGGAUGCGUCUGAUUAGCUUGUUGGCGGGGUAACGGCCCACCAAGGCUACGAUCAGUAGGGGUUCUGAGAGGAAGGUCCCCCACAUUUGAACUGAGACACGGUCCAAACUCCUACGGGAGGCAGCAGUGAGGAAUAUUGGUCAAUGGACGGAAGUCUGAACCAGCCAAGUAGCGUGCAGGAUGACGGCCCUUUGGGUUGUAAACUGCUUUUGUAUGGGGAUAAAGUUAGGGACGUGUCCCUAUUUGCAGGUACCAUACGAAUAAGGACCGGCUAAUUCCGUG
This 492-nucleotide ribosomal RNA is filed under the name uncultured bacterium. RNAcentral's name for it is "partial 16S ribosomal RNA". It matches the Rfam family "Bacterial small subunit ribosomal RNA", at positions 28 to 507 of the family's 1533-position model. The record is from RNAcentral.